Zea mays is the source of this 229-nucleotide long non-coding RNA. RefSeq lists it as uncharacterized. The transcript is spliced from 3 exons. NCBI's taxonomy places the organism in Eukaryota, Viridiplantae, Streptophyta, Magnoliopsida, Poales, Poaceae. The record is from RefSeq and is a predicted model, not a curated record.
GCAGGAUACUCAGUUUACAGACACACAGGGUAAACAUGGUGACGGUGGCAAGAACAUGCCGACCAAUACAAACGUCACUCCUAAAGCAACACCACACAUGGAUCCUGACGCGCCGAUAUUUGAUGCGACUCCGCAAAUCAAGUCUACUGGCGGCGUACAACAAGCGGCAGAAACAGACUUGCCUGACAGUGGUUCAUGCUUUGAUCAGACUCCAUCUGAACAUGUUAGC